GAUUUGCUUCUGAGCACUAGAAAGCUCAACUAGCUCAGCAGCUCUUUAUGACCUCUGGCACAGACAGCAAAUUCCUUCCAGCUCAGCUCGUGGAGCUGGGCUCUGUACUGCCUUAAAACCAGCCCCGGCUCCUCAAUUACCUUCUGCCCUUAUUCAUGCCCUGCCAAUUCCUUUUUGCUGGAAUCUGAAUGAAGCCACUGCAUAUGCCAAGGCUGAGAAUCGCUUGAGAGGACUUAUGGGCCUUUUCCUUGAAGGAAAAGAUGGCACUUGGAACUUGGCCGGUGGAAGCAUCAUUCAGAUAUGAUUCAUUACAGGUAAGAGAAAGAAGACAGGAAUCUGCAGAAGAAAUCUUCCCAUAAGUCUGAUAUUUCUGGAAAAGGGGACAGAGUUGUCUGCUCUUUGUGACUUAGACUGGGCCAGUGCCGAAAUCACAAGUCCACAGAGUAUGCCUGAAGGAAGAUGGUUCUCAAUGCACCCACUGGGAAAAUGCACUCAUCCUCAAAUGACUGAGGCCGUUGUUUCCUUGCCUUUUAAGAUCUCAUCCCAGGAGGGAUUCUUCUCACUUUCUUUCAGUCCUGAACUCAGAGGAUUGUGCUGCUUAGGGAAGCCACCUCAUUAGGACAACUCAUUUUCCCUUCUCUCUAGUAGAGGUUACUGCCACAAGCUGAACACAGUGAAAAAUAAACUGUGAACUUGAAGAGGGAGGAGGGAAGGUGGAGGUGUUUAUCUCAAGCUUAAGAGAAGUUCUGCAAAAGGCGUUUUUUAGUUUGCCCAGUUUCAUUUCUUUAAUCCCUGGUUUCUCUGUGGUUUUGCUGUAUGCUUGCCCAGACACGUCACAUGCACCAGCCUUAUAACUAGAAAAGUCUCUGGCCUCACAAGAAGAGGGAGAUCUCCCUGAAAAUAAUCUCCGAAGGGUUGGUCUGGAGCAGGAAAUGAGAGUGAAAGGCACAUCUGUAGGAGGGGUUCCGCUUGCUCACACUCGGAAUGUGCUCGCCCUCUCCUCCUCUCUUUGAUGACAGGAAGUGCACAUACUCCAAGCUCCAUUUCCUCAAUGUCCCAGGUGAAAUUAUCCCCGGAGAGAGGGAUAACCCUAACUAUUAAAAAGAUGUAUGCUUGAUUCAAUGUUCCAAAUAAUAUUCAGCACAAACGAAUCUCUGGACACCUAAGCUGUAAUAGACCAUGAGAUUUGGAAGAGGAUGAGGAAGAGUACUAUCCAAGGAACCGGCUAUCAUCACAAAUUCUGCAGACUCAGACACCUCUCGACAGCAUGUCUCCAACAACCCCGCCCCCCAUUCAGAGCCACUCUUCCGGAAAUCAACUCACAGUUCACCUCCUGUCUAAAUUCUGGUGUAGAAAUGGAAACCUCUUGUAAGAUGUCAUAGAUAUUUUGGCUGAAUCAUCAGCAGAAGUUCUUGUCCAUCCCUUAGACUUAGGAUGGCCUGGUUAGUAUGGUUUGAUGGGACAAAGCUUGAAUACCAUGACCAGAAGCAUUUCUGUGUUCUCCUGUCUAAGGGUAUUUGUUAUGUCUCAGGAAAGCUGGAUGACUAUCUCAUUCUCUGAUGAUGGAGAAGAAUACUCACAACCUGCUCCCCACCUCCCACUGUGAAAUGCCAAUAUGGUGGAAACAGAAGGGAGAAGAAAGAACAGCGGAGACACUGAUCAUUCGAAACCAAAGAAGCAGCUCAUGCAUAAUGGAGAGCUAUCUGCAUGCAAAUUGCUAGGAGUACUUCCUACUUUUCUGGGAUAUUGUAUUUAGCCCUCUGUACUCUAUUCAGAAGAGUUCUGUUCCCCAGGCCAAGAAGGAGUCACUACAGUGUCAUUUAACUCCUUGCUGCUCCUGGAAGCAAGAGUUUCCCUACGGACCCAAUGUGACUUCGUCUAGUGCCGCUGCCACUUUUGCCAGAUUAUGUCUCUCAAACUUUCAGAUGUUAUAGGAGAAAGCUGCUUAAUUUCUGAGCAUCAAUUUUCAAGAAUUUUUUUUGAAGAGUGAGAAAAAAUUCCGGAAGCAUGAUUUCUGAAAUGCCCCAGAGACAGCUGAGAUAAUCCUGUCAUCAUUGAGCCUGAGUGAUUCAUCAAUGAUUCAAAUGACCAAUCAACCAAAAACAAAGAGGCAAAAGACUUUCAUGAUGUUCAUUUGCUAGAAUCAAGAUCAUCUAGAAAAUAAAUGACUGAUGUAGAAAAUGUAGGAUACAGUUUCAUAAUUAGCCUUUAGGGGGAAUAAAACCUACAGAAGUAACGCCUACCAGAAAUAAUCACUGUUGAUCUUAUUUAUCAUGUGUUUUACUAGGUAAUGGAAAAAUACAUCUACUUAUGGAUUACCUAGUAGGUUAAACACUACAACCAUUUUUUAAGUUACAAACUAUUUUUUAAACUGAGAAACACUAGUAAAAACAUAAAAAAAGCAAGCCACAGUCUGGGAGAAAAGAUAUAUAUCUUUGAUAAGGAAUUUAUGUCCAGAAUACAUAAAUAACUCCCAUAAAUUGAUACUAAGAGGAUAAUCAGUAAUAAAAAUAUAAAAAACAAAUUUUUAAAGUGAACAAAAUACAUGAAUAGGCACUUCACCAAAGAAGACAUCUAAAUGGUCCAUAAAGACAUGAAAAGACACUCCAAAGCACUAGUAAUCAGCAAAUUAAACUAGCGAAUUAAAACCACAAUGAGAUGCUACUACACACGUAGUAUAAUGCCAAAAAGUAAAAAGUAAAAGCACAAAGUUCUGGUGUGCUUAUCCUUGAUGAGAGUGUAAAAUGGUACCACCACUUUGGAAAAUUGUGUGGCAUUUCCUAAUGCAGUUAAACUAUUACAUAUGUUCCAUCCUAGGUGUAUACUGAGGAUAAAUAAAUGCAUAUGUUAAUAAAAGACUGCGGGAAUAAGAAUGUUCUAAGCAGCUGUGUUCAUAAUAGCCAAAAAGCAGAAAUAUCACAAAUGUCUAUCUGCAAGAGAGUACAUAUCAGUGGACAUCUAUGUUGUUGAAUGUAUCAAUAGCACAUUCCCUUUUAUUGCUGAGUGUUAAUCUACUGUGUGAAUACAAGAAAAACUCCUCAACUUCCAAGUAGGUGCCAGAACCUGUAUUAGUAUCCUACAGCUACUACCACAAUCUGUAACUUGCUUUUUCAAUAAAAUAU
Long non-coding RNA from Homo sapiens (human), 3122 nucleotides. Ensembl annotates it as long intergenic non-protein coding RNA 1416. The record is from Ensembl. NCBI's taxonomy places the organism in Eukaryota, Metazoa, Chordata, Mammalia, Primates, Hominidae.